CACGGCGCACGGGUGCGUAACACGUGGGCAAUCUGCCCUCCGAUGGGGAAUAACCCCGCGAAAGCGGGGCUAAUUCCGCAUAACAUUCCCUGGACUCCGGUUCGGGGAUUCAAAGCAGCAAUGCGUCGGAGGAGGAGCCCGCGCCCGAUUAGCUAGUUGGUGAGGUAACGGCUCACCAAGGCUAUGAUCGGUAGCUGGUCUGAGAGGAUGGCCAGCCACACUGGAACUGAGACACGGUCCAGACUCCUACGGGAGGCAGCAGUGGGGAAUCUUGCACAAUGGGCGAAAGCCUGAUGCAGCGACGCCGCGUGGGGGAUGAAGCUUCUCGGAGUGUAAACCCCUUUCGACCGGGACGAAUGCCCGCAAGGGACUGACGGUACCGGUAUAAGAAGCCCCGGCUAACUACGUGCCAGCAGCCGCGGUAAGACGUAGGGGGCCAGCGUUGCUCGGAAUUACUGGGUGUAAAGGGUUCGUAGGCGGUGUAGCAAGUCGGGAGUGAAAUCUCUGGGCUCAACUCAGGGGCUGCUUCCGAAACUGCUGUGCUAGAGUGUGGGAGAGGCGCGUGGAAUUGCAGGUGUAGCGGUGAAAUGCGUAGAUAUCUGCAGGAACACCCGUGGCGAAAGCGGCGCGCUGGACCACUACUGACGCUGAGGAACGAAAGCUAGGGGAGCAAACAGGAUUAGAUACCCUGGUAGUCCUAGCCCUAAACGAUCAGGACUUGGGGUGCCACCCGUUCGGGUGUCGUCCCGGAGCUAACGCGUUAAGUCCUGCACCUGGGGAGUACGGUCGCAAGACUGAAACUCAAAUGAAUUGACGGGGGCCCGCACAAGCGGUGGAGCAUGUGGUUUAAUUCGA
Molecule: ribosomal RNA, 855 nt
Filed under: uncultured bacterium
Lineage: Bacteria
Description: bacterial SSU rRNA
Rfam family: Bacterial small subunit ribosomal RNA
Source: RNAcentral